AUUAUUCACGGUCGCGUUACUAUUUUUAUUUUUAAUUUUUUUUUAAUUGCUCGAUAUAUUCGGGAUUAGAGUCAAAGCACCACUGAAGAGGAGUUUUGGGCGUUGCUCCAUAAGGAAAGAGUAUGAAUUUUUUGAUUGCCGAGUUCCUGGAUAUCCUGAUGAUGGCUUUCUUCACGACUUCCGUCUUGAUGAAUUUCUUCACGACUUCAGUAUUCUCCUACAAGGCAGCCUCCUACCUGGUGUUGUCCAUCCUCCUACUUGACUGUCGGAAGAAGAGUAUAUCUGCGAACGGUGAGUCGCAUGUUUUAUGGUUCCUCUGGUGCCCAAUCAUGUCGUAGGACGAAUGGUCCGAAUCGACACGGGCUACUAGUUGUAUA
Molecule: long non-coding RNA, 377 nt
Organism: Osmia lignaria (orchard mason bee)
Lineage: Eukaryota; Metazoa; Arthropoda; Insecta; Hymenoptera; Megachilidae
Source: RefSeq, a predicted model, not a curated record